This 478-nucleotide ribosomal RNA is filed under the name uncultured bacterium. RNAcentral describes it as "partial 16S ribosomal RNA". It matches the Rfam family "Bacterial small subunit ribosomal RNA", at positions 28 to 523 of the family's 1533-position model. The record is from RNAcentral.
GACGAACGCUGGCGGCGUGCUCAACACAUGCAAGUCGAACGGUAAGGCCCUUCGGGGUACACGAGUGGCGAACGGGUGAGUAACACGUGGGUGAUCUGCCCCGCACUUCGGGAUAAGCCUGGGAAACUGGGUCUAAUACCGGAUAGGACUCCUGGCUUCAUGGUUGGGGGUGGAAAGCUUUUGCGGUGUGGGAUGGGCCCGCGGCCUAUCAGCUUGUUGGUGGGGUAAUGGCCUACCAAGGCGACGACGGGUAGCCGGCCUGAGAGGGUGACCGGCCACACUGGGACUGAGAUACGGCCCAGACUCCUACGGGAGGCAGCAGUGGGGAAUAUUGCACAAUGGGCGCAAGCCUGAUGCAGCGACGCCGCGUGAGGGAUGACGGCCUUCGGGUUGUAAACCUCUUUCAGCACCGACGAAGCGCAAGUGACGGUAGGUGCAGAAGAAGGACCGGCCAACUACGUGCCAGCCGCCGCAGUAA